CCUACGGGUGGCAGCAGUGGGGAAUAUUGGACAAUGGGCGAAAGCCUGAUCCAGCCAUGCCGCGUGUGUGAAGAAGGCCUUCGGGUUGUAAAGCACUUUCAGUGGGGAAGAAAGCCUUGGGGCUAAUACCCUCGAGGAAGGACAUCACCCACAGAAGAAGCACCGGCUAACUCCGUGCCAGCAGCCGCGGUAAUACGGAGGGUGCGAGCGUUAAUCGGAAUUACUGGGCGUAAAGCGCGCGUAGGCGGUCUGAUAAGCCGGUUGUGAAAGCCCCGGGCGCAACCUGGGAACGGCAUCCGGAACUGUCAGGCUAGAGUGCAGGAGAGGAAGGUAGAAUUCCCGGGGUAGCGGUGAAAUGCGUAGAGAUCGGGAGGAAUACCAGUGGCGAAGGCGGCCUUCUGGACUGACACUGACGCUGAGGUGCGAAAGCGUGGGUAGCAAACAGGAUUAGAUACCCUUGUAGUC
RNAcentral lists this ribosomal RNA (465 nucleotides) under Vreelandella stevensii. RNAcentral describes it as "partial 16S ribosomal RNA". It matches the Rfam family "Bacterial small subunit ribosomal RNA", at positions 338 to 795 of the family's 1533-position model. The record is from RNAcentral. Lineage: Bacteria; Pseudomonadati; Pseudomonadota; Gammaproteobacteria; Oceanospirillales; Halomonadaceae.